GGGUGCUUAGCGCAAUGGUAGCGUGUUUGGCUUCGAUGCUUUCCUUACGUAAUUCCCACCAAAAGGUUGCAGGUUCGAGUCCUGCAGUGCUCA
Molecule: non-coding RNA, 93 nt
Organism: Mycena epipterygia
Lineage: Eukaryota; Fungi; Basidiomycota; Agaricomycetes; Agaricales; Mycenaceae
Source: the annotation of a GenBank genome assembly